GACGAACGCUGGCGGCGUGCUUAACACAUGCAAGUCGAACGGUAAGGCCCUUCGGGGUACACGAGUGGCGAACGGGUGAGUAACACGUGGGUGAUCUGCCCUGCACUUCGGGAUAAGCCUGGGAAACUGGGUCUAAUACCGGAUAGGACCACUGCCUGCAUGGGUGGUGGUGGAAAGCUUUUGCGGUGUGGGAUGGGCCCGCGGCCUAUCAGCUUGUUGGUGGGGUAAUGGCCUACCAAGGCGACGACGGGUAGCCGGCCUGAGAGGAUGACCGGCCACACUGGGACUGAGAUACGGCCCAGACUCCUACGGGAGGCAGCAGUGGGGAAUAUUGCACAAUGGGCGCAAGCCUGAUGCAGCGACGCCGCGUGAGGGAUGACGGCCUUCGGGUUGUAAACCUCUUUCAGCUAUGACGAAGCGCAAGUGACGGUAGUAGCAGAAGAAGGACCGGCCAACUACGUGCCAGCAGCCGCCGCCG
RNAcentral lists this ribosomal RNA (478 nucleotides) under uncultured bacterium. Its description in RNAcentral is "partial 16S ribosomal RNA". It matches the Rfam family "Bacterial small subunit ribosomal RNA", at positions 28 to 523 of the family's 1533-position model. The record is from RNAcentral.